RNAcentral lists this ribosomal RNA (424 nucleotides) under uncultured bacterium. RNAcentral describes it as "bacterial SSU rRNA". It matches the Rfam family "Bacterial small subunit ribosomal RNA", at positions 355 to 796 of the family's 1533-position model. The record is from RNAcentral.
UAACGAAUCUUCCGCAAUGCACGAAAGUGUGACGGAGCGACGCCGCGUGUAGGACGAAGCCCUUCGGGGUGUAAACUACUGUCAGGGGUUACCAAGUUCUGAGGAGCCCCAGAGGAAGGGACGGCUAACUCUGUGCCAGCAGCCGCGGUAAGACAGAGGUCCCGAGCGUUAGGCGGAAUCACUGGGCUUAAAGCGUGUGUAGGCGGAUCGUUAAGUGCCUUGUGAAAUCCCACGGCUCAACCAUGGAACUGCUGGGCAUACUGCCGAUCUUGAGCCACUUAGGGGCAACCGGAACAAACGGUGGAGCGGUGAAAUGCGUAGAUAUCGUUUGGAACGCCAAUGGUGAAAACAGGUUGCUGGGAGUGGGCUGACGCUGAGACACGAAAGCCAGGGGAGCGAACGGGAUUAGAUACCCCUGUAGUCC